GAUGAACGCUAGCGGGAGGCCUAACACAUGCAGGCCGAGCGGUAGAGUUUCUUCGGAAACUUGAGAGCGGCGCACGGGUGCGUAACACGUGUGCAACCUACCUUUAUCUGGGGGAUAGCCUUUCGAAAGGAAGAUUAAUACCCCAUAAUAUAAUGAUUGGCAUCAAUUAUUAUUGAAAACUCCGGUGGAUAGAGAUGGGCACGCGCAAGAUUAGAUAGUUGGUGAGGUAACGGCUCACCAAGUCAAUGAUCUUUAGGGGUCCUGAGAGGGAGAUCCCCCACACUGGUACUGAGACACGGACCAGACUCCUACGGGAGGCAGCAGUGAGGAAUAUUGGACAAUGGGUGAGAGCCUGAUCCAGCCAUCCCGCGUGAAGGAUGACGGUCCUAUGGAUUGUAAACUUCUUUUGUACAGGGAUAAACCUACCCUCGUGAGGGUAGCUGAAGGUACUGUACGAAUAAGCACCGGCUAACUCCGUG
Molecule: ribosomal RNA, 479 nt
Filed under: uncultured bacterium
Lineage: Bacteria
Description: partial 16S ribosomal RNA
Rfam family: Bacterial small subunit ribosomal RNA
Source: RNAcentral